AUUGAACGCUGGCGGCAUGCCUUACACAUGCAAGUCGAACGGAUCAGAGGAGCUUGCUCUUCUGGUUAGUGGCGGACGGGUGAGUAAUGCAUCGGAACGUACCCAGUAGUGGGGGAUAACGUAGCGAAAGUUACGCUAAUACCGCAUACGACCUGAGGGUGAAAGCAGGGGAUCGCAAGACCUUGCGCUAUUGGAGCGGCCGAUGUCGGAUUAGCUAGUUGGUAGGGUAAAAGCCUACCAAGGCGACGAUCCGUAGCUGGUCUGAGAGGACGACCAGCCAACCUGGGACUGAGACCCGGCCCAGACUCCUACGGGAGGCAGCAGUGGGGAAUUUUGGACAAUGGGGGAAACCCUGAUUCAGCCAUGCCGCGUGAGUGAAGAAGGCCUUCGGGUUGUAAAGCUCUUUCAGACGGAAAGAAAUCUUCCGGGCUAAUACCUCGGGAGGAUGACGGUACCGUAAGAAGAAGCACCGGCUAACUACGUGCCAGCAGCCGCCGUAA
This 500-nucleotide ribosomal RNA is filed under the name uncultured bacterium. Its description in RNAcentral is "partial 16S ribosomal RNA". It matches the Rfam family "Bacterial small subunit ribosomal RNA", at positions 30 to 523 of the family's 1533-position model. The record is from RNAcentral.